GAUGAACGCUGGCGGCGUGCUUAACACAUGCAAGUCGAACGGAAAGGCUCCUGCUUGCAGGGGUACUCGAGUGGCGAACGGGUGAGUAACACGUGGGUGAUCUGCCCUGCACUUCGGGAUGAGCCUGGGAAACUGGGUCUAAUACCGGAUAGGACGAUGGUUUGGAUGCCAUUGUGGAAAGUUUUUUCGGUGUGGGAUGAGCUCGCGGCCUAUCAGCUUGUUGGUGGGGUAAUGGCCUACCAAGGCGUCGACGGGUAGCCGGCCUGAGAGGGUGUACGGCCACAUUGGGACUGAGAUACGGCCCAGACUCCUACGGGAGGCAGCAGUGGGGAAUAUUGCACAAUGGGCGCAAGCCUGAUGCAGCGACGCCGCGUGGGGGAUGACGGCCUUCGGGUUGUAAACUCCUUUCGCUAGGGACGAAGCGCAAGUGACGGUACCUGGAGAAGAAGCACCGGCUAACUACGUG
This 466-nucleotide ribosomal RNA is filed under the name uncultured bacterium. RNAcentral describes it as "partial 16S ribosomal RNA". It matches the Rfam family "Bacterial small subunit ribosomal RNA", at positions 28 to 507 of the family's 1533-position model. The record is from RNAcentral.